Non-coding RNA from Anas platyrhynchos (mallard), 5241 nucleotides. The record is from RefSeq and is a predicted model, not a curated record. NCBI's taxonomy places the organism in Eukaryota, Metazoa, Chordata, Aves, Anseriformes, Anatidae.
GACGGUGCCGCUGCCCCUUCCCGGCGCGGCCUCUCCUCCCUGCGCCGCCACUGCCGCCGCCUCAGCCGGCGGGCGGGAGAAGGCGGACAGAGGUGGCCGCCAUGGCGCUGCCGGUGCUGUCGAGCUCGGGGGUGAAAUUCCGGCGGGUCCUGGCGCACUUCCCCCAGGAGCUCAGCCUGGCCUUCGCCUACGGCUCCGGCGUCUUUCGGCAGGCGGGGCCCUCGGCCGGGCACAGCGAGAACAAUAUGCUGGACUUUGUGUUUGCAGUUGAUGAUUCGGUGACCUGGCAUAUGAUGAACUUAUUAAAGAACAAGAGUCAUUAUUCCUUCCUAAAAGUUUUUGGGCCAAAACAGAUAAGUAACAUACAGAGCUAUGGAGCAGGGAUUUACUACAACACUUUAGUGCCAUGUAAUGGUAGGAUGAUAAAAUAUGGUGUAAUUAGCACUGAUGCCCUGAUUGAUGAUUUACUUCACUGGAAAACCCUCUAUGUUGCUGGACGCCUACAAAAGCCGGUGAAAAUACUGACACAGAAUGAGAAUGGCAAGCUGCAAGCUGCGCUUGUUAGCAAUCUGAAGAGUGCAGUCACAGCAGCCUUUCUCAUGUUACCAGAAAGUUUCUCUGAAGAAGACCUCUAUAUGCAGAUUGCAGGACUCUCCUAUUCUGGUGACUUCAGAAUGAUCAUAGGAGAAGACAGAUCGAAAGUGCAGAACAUUGUGAAACCUAAUGUUCCCUAUUUUCAGAAGCUGUACAGUAACAUAUUGCAGGACUGCCCUCAAGUGGUGUAUAAGCACCAUCUGGGAAGGCUAGAGAUUGAUAAAAGCCCAGAAGGUCAAUUCACACAACUCAUGGCUUUGCCAAAGAAUCUGCAACAAAAGAUAACUUCUCUGGUAGACCCUCCUGGAAAAAACAGAGAUGUGGAAGAAAUUUUACUGCAAGUUGCGCAUGACCCUGAUUGUGGAUUAGUGGUGCAUCAAGGCAUUUCAGGAAUUGUGAGAUCUUCUAGUAUAGUGCAAAGUGCUAAAACCAUACUAACAGCUGGGGCAAAAAAAUCUGUGACUUACAGUGUAAAGAAAUUGUAUAAAAUGACAAAGGGAUGGUUAAAGAAGACAUCUUGAGUCUUGACACACUGUGUGUGGAGGAACAGCAUGAGAGAAUUCAGGAGGGAGUCAAGGCCUUUUUUGAAUGAAGUAGCUACCAAGUAAGAAGUGCAAUGCUGUCAGAACUUCUGGAUAGAGGCAUCUAAUGAGGACCCAAGCUUUCCUAGCUGCAGUACAGAAAUGUACAAAGUGAAAGAAAAAACAAAGGAGCAUCUGUAGCACACAAGUAAAGCAGAAGCUGGACCACAGAAAGAAUAAGCAAUAUGACCAAAUUCAAAAGCUGUCAGUGACAAAACUAGAUGCUUUUACCUUUAACGUGCUCAUUCCUUCCUUCUGUAAUGGUACAAUUUCAUCAAGUUUUACAUCACCGGCCAAAUUGGGAAGUAUUGUCAUUGGACAAAACAUUCCUGACUGUUUUUUUUCUUUUUCUCCAUGAGAAUGCAAGGAUGGGGCUUUUUAAAACCUGGUUAAAAAACAGUACCACAGGAUGUGAAACCACUUGCUCAUAAAUUAUAAUUGCUUCAAGCACUGGUUGAGAGAGAUCAUGUGUCAUAAGAUUGCCCAACAUCUGGUCGAGAAUUCUUACUAGCAGAGCAUUUAGUCACAUGCUUGACUUAAAAUGCAUACAUACCUACCAUUGCUAAAUAGGUAUUUAAUUUCCUUUUUGAGACUUUACAGAAACAUACUUGAAUAUACAGAAGGAAAAAAAAAUAAAAAUAAAAAUCUGUGUGAUGUAUCAAUACAGUUGGAUGUUCCCGAACCCUUUGGGAUAUGGCUGCAGUGUGAAGGCUGAGUUUUAACGGCUUGUUCACUUCCAUGGAUUUUGAGGUUGUGGCUGUUUCUCCUUUAUCAAGAUAGGGUACCUUAGAGAGGUAUGUACCUGAGAUUUAAAUAGAAAAUCCUAUGAGGGUAUCUUGCAUCCUAAGAGGCUCAGUACUUCUAAAACACUGUUAAUUUUCUCAUUACUGCUAAGCUUGGGGAUAAGCAGCAGCUAAAUGUAGAGUUGUAACAGCAUUUCAUCGUUUAAAAAAUUCUAUGGAAGCAUGUCAGAGAACAGCUUUCCUUUAAAACCAUCCACAACACAAAUAUUAUGCUUUGAAUAUCAGAUGAAUUUAAAAGUUGUUAUGGUGUUUCAGAAGGCGCCUGCUACCGAAAUGGUGGUUCGGACAUUCCAAGUCAAUUACAGGUCAGUCUGAUAGGUGAGAGUGAGUUGACCUCAGCGGCUGUAGUGCAACAGAGCUAUCUUGAUUCGGAACCUUGCUAGCUAAGCAAGGGCAUUUAAACAAGAAAUAAUAUUCUCUUAGAAAAAAUGAAUGUGCUGCUUGCCAUUCAGCAGUUAAUUAAACGUUAUGUGCAACAGAUGCUGUACAGCAUCAGACCCUCACAACCUUUACACUGCUUGUUGCAGUGCCGGCAGAUUGGUGUUACUGUACAGGUGUUACUUUACUGCAGAGCUUGCCUGUAAUCUGAGCUGGCUGUGUUUGUCUUACGGGGAUGAAAUACCCACUGCCUAUCUUGAUUUGGCUUUGUGAACCUUCUUUGUGUGCAGCAAUAUAAUUGGUCAUUUCAUGCUCUUUGGAGAGAGUUUUGCAAAUCCCAGUUUAAUAGUUGCUAGUUUACUCCAUCUGUUGAUACACUGCCAGUAUUCAAGUCUCUGCAGUAAAUCUUUGCGAGACUUAAAGUUCUUCCUCAUCAUCCAUAUAGGCUGAAAUCUUAAACUGUAUUCUGUUCUGUAAAUCAUUUAUCUCUGUGCUUUUUAAAAAGUGGCCUACCUUUCCCCUUGAGGCCAUUGGUCUUGAAUGUAUUUAUUUUUUUGGCAGAGAGCCAUGAAUGAAUCAUAGCCUAGAGCAGUUUACAGUCUGAACUCCUCUCUAUUGUUAAUAUAAAAUACUUUAUGCAGUUGUUACAACGUUUUGCUAUGUAAAACUUUUAAGAGAAGAGAUUGAUUUCAGACAUGCUAGUUGCUUUUGAAGUUCCCCAACAGUAUGUGGAAAUGAUUUCUUAUGGUCGUACAGCUGUAAUCCACUAAAAUAACUAGUGAUUGUUGCAUGGGAAGUUCGUACAUGAGAAUGGUACUGACUCUUUGUUGCAGUGAAGUGUGUUUGUUCUUCCACAAAAAAUAGUCACAUUAGCUUUUCAUUCCAUUUGUAACUUUCCUGCUUAUACCUUCCUGCUCAAUUUUCAAACUGCUUUGUUUUAUUGUUUCUCUUGAUUUAAUUCACAAAUCUUUUACUCAGUUGUUCAGACAUCCCUUUUCUCUGGUUUGGCUAUUCCACUGUGGAUAUUGUUUCAUCUCCAUCCCCUUUCUUUCUAUGUACCAGUACUUUAAUGAAAGGUAACCGAGGAUGUCUUGAUUUUUAAAAGGAUUCUUUGCAAUGAAGAGCCUGGACCCAAUCAAAGUACGAAGGAUUUCCAAAGAUGAGUUGGCACCGCUGGCCUAGCUGGCACUGAGGUUGACAGUGCCAGUGAGGUAUAACUGUCUCAUGCUUCAGAAGGAAUAAACUACACGACACAGGAUAAAUCAAAGUUUAUCUGGUUACAUAAUCCAGAGAUUUUGGUUUCUACUUCUGCUUACAGUCUUUAAUCUUGAUAUUGAGUUCAUUUAUUAACUUGCCUGUAGUUGUAAGCAACCCAUUUGACUACGCAUUAAGAGGUUUGGCAGCUUCUACAGUUAAAAUCUGGGGAGUGCAUAAAACUGGCUGUGCCACACAAGAUAACUUCUUCCAUCAAUACAUGCAAGGUGUGUUCUUUAUCACGUGCUUAUAUCCCCAUUCCAAGUAUUUGACUAGUGAGUUCCUCCAGGUGGCUGGCUGUAUGACCCGUCAAAUACCAGCUAUACUGAAUGCACCCGACUUUGUUUUAAGCGUGGAGAUGGUGUUUCUCACCUGUGCUUCAGUGUGAUUUCUCUCUAGCUUUGGUUCACCUUGUGUGUGAGUGAAUGUGACUAGCAGAUGGAGUGCAACAGCUGCAACCUUAUCAUAAACAAGGUGCCUCUAGGUAGCACGCAGUGAACAGGUGUGACUCGUUUCUGUUACAGAGCUGGACUCUUACAGUAUCCCACUGCUUUCAUCAGAACAAACAUCUCUGCCAGGCUGGGGAGAUACGCCUGUGUAGUACUCCACACGGUAUUCCGGUGUAGGGAAAUGAACUGUGAGGUCCAUGUUUUUUUUUUUGUUUUUUUUUUUUUUGUUUUUUUUUUUAAGUGAUUGAAGAGGUAAUGCUAGAGCCCGUUCUGCCUUGGGAGACUUUAGAACAAACAUAGCACUUGGUGAGUAUCCAGUAGGGGGGGAUCCAACCAGGGUUGUGACUCAUGCCUUUUCCCAGCAAUUAAUUUAAAAAUAGAAUUGAAAUAUGCUUUGAAGGUCAGAAUGUCAGGUCAGUGUGUGUGUCUGACGGUUUUUAAUGGGUAAGGUGUUCACAGAGGACAAAACAUUCUUCAUUUCCAAGGUCACUUCUGCUGGGCAUAUAUUCUGAAUGCGUAGACAAUUAAUUGCCUUUGUAUUAUGUACUGAAGGAGGGAGAGACGUUACCUUUGUGUAGCUAUUUUCUAGUAUGUAUUUUGGUUUGAGUAAACAGCUGCUCUCUACAAAAUUUUAUGAAAGCAGAGUGUUGAAUGACCUUACUUACCUGUGUGCUUUAGAUUUUCAUCUAGAGACUGUUGUUAACUGAUCCUGAACUUAAUAGCUUCUUUAGGAAAGAGGCUCUAAGCAUUUUACUCCUGCAUCUUUUAACAUCUUAGUUAGACUUGAUCAGUUUUUUAAUGUCUAAUUUCACAAGUUUUAGUAUAUGACCGUGAAGCUUCAGACUAUACAUUCUGAAAUUAUUCGUAUGAAAACAGAUACUUAUUACAUCUCUAGGUUUAGUCUGAGAACUUAGGUGUCAUUUGUACCUUCAGAAUCCAGCAUUCCACCAAAACCUUUUCAUCCGUGGUGGGUAACUAUUUUGGCAACCAAGCAUGUUCUGAGAAAAUGGAGGUCAUGCAGCUGCAAAGACCGAUAUUCUGAUUUUGAAACUUUGUGUAAAUGUAAUGGUUUUAGAGGGUUCUUCCUGCUUUUAAAUUUGAAUAGAAUCUGAUUGUUAGCAGUUGCAAUCAUAAGGGAUUGUCUUAAAACAUAUAUAAAUAAAUAAUUUGGAUAUAACGCUA